CUGACGUGGACAUCCAGCGAGCUGCUCUCCUGGCUCUGUCCUGGUGGCGUAUGGGAGCGUAGCUUUUCAGCAGAGACGUACAUUCCCGUUCCACACCGUCGGAGAGAAAGCUCUGUCCCCGGCCUCUGGCUGGCGUGGACGAGCGUCCUGUAUAUUCCUACAUCUUCCCAGAGUCCUACUGGACAGUUACUGGGGAGCUAAACCAUGCAGUGCACAUUG
Takifugu rubripes (torafugu) is the source of this 219-nucleotide small nucleolar RNA. Its record names the gene SNORA73. It matches the Rfam family "Small nucleolar RNA SNORA73 family". From Rfam's summary of the family: U17 (SNORA73A and SNORA73B) also known as E1 belongs to the H/ACA class of small nucleolar RNAs (snoRNAs). Vertebrate U17 is intron-encoded and ranges in length from 200-230 nucleotides, longer than most snoRNAs. The record is from Ensembl. Lineage: Eukaryota; Metazoa; Chordata; Actinopteri; Tetraodontiformes; Tetraodontidae.